RNAcentral lists this ribosomal RNA (235 nucleotides) under uncultured bacterium. RNAcentral describes it as "partial 16S ribosomal RNA". It matches the Rfam family "Bacterial small subunit ribosomal RNA", at positions 118 to 351 of the family's 1533-position model. The record is from RNAcentral.
UGAGUAACCUGCCCUUAACUCUGGGAUAAGCCUGGGAAACUGGGUCUAAUACCGGAUAUGACUCCUCAUCGCAUGGUGGGGGGUGGAAAGCUUUAUUGUGGUUUUGGAUGGACUCGCGGCCUAUCAGCCUGUUGGUGAGGUAAUGGCUCACCAAGGCGACGACGGGUAGCCGGCCUGAGAGGGUGACCGGCCACACUGGGACUGAGACACGGCCCAAACUCCGUACGGGAGGCAG